CUUCCUCUUGGCCUCUUCACUGUAGACAUGGUGUUUUUUUUCUUUUUUCUUCUUCUUCCUCUUUCCUCCCCCUCUCCAACCGGCUAACAAAAGCCUUGCCCUUUCCCGGGGUUUUGGUCUCUCUCUCCGGUUGCUUGCUCACGCUUCUUCUCUCGAAAACACACUCACUCUUUUGCCUUUUUCCAACUGUCGUUUUCUCUCACUCUUCCUUUAGUGGUGUGUCCCCCCCACCCCUCCCUCUCUCCUCCUCCCCGGUCAACUCUUCUCCUCGGGCAAGUGCGAGAGCGCCGGAGCGGUUCCACCGUCUCCUCCUCCCCCAGCGGGCAGGGCUCAAGAGGAGCGCAUGGGAGCUCUCUCUCUGGCUCUCUCUCUCACCCUCGUUUGUCUCUUCACAGGGUGAUGAGGGAGCAGCGCUGUGGGCGGUAGAGGAGGUGCGUGGCAGUCCAGGAAGCUCUCAUUCUGCCACUGCGUGCUGCUUCGCCGUAGUCCGGCUUCACCAAAGUCUCCCUCACUCUGUGUGUGUGUGUGUGUCAGAGUUGCCUUCCCCUACCUCCUCCCCUCUCAUUGAUUCCUCUUUCCGCCUGCCUUUCGUGUGCGCUCUCUAUGACUUUCUGAGCACCCUUUUCCCUCUUAUUUCUGGUUCUUUCCUUCUCUCUCCGCUCAUGCCGUUUCCCUAUUUUUUGCGCCUCUCCUCGUCUUCUUCAUCAGCCAGGAUAAGUGACAUGCAGCCUUCACUGUCCCGAGUCUACUGUGAAGUCAAGCCCCUCUGAGGUCAAGUCCUGGUCACCCAGCUAUGACUUUUGCAUAACAAAUUCCAAGGAGGGGAAACUGGGACGUGUCCAGUACAUGCACGUCUUCCUGUGCACCAGAAGAAACCUCGGGAGGAACGAGCCGGCCUUUCAGGGGACUCCUGUCAGCAUGAUACAGAGGCCAUGUGCAUCGGCUGGCACAUGGUAUUGGGAAUUAUGUGGAGACACGCAGCUGGCCUGGAGCCAGGUACAGUGCACAGCACUACUGGGCCAGUGCCUUUAAUUUACGGACAGAUACCCCAUCAGCUUUACAUAAACUGUGAAAAUCAGCUAAACAGGCUUCAUUCACUGCCAACACAAAGUUCACUUUUCACACACACACACACUUUUUAGGUGUGCCGCUCCUGUUCAACCUGCAUACCCUUUUCUACACCAUGUUGAAAAACUGGCACUGAUGGCCGGAGCAAACACAAAUAACAAAUCAAAUGCUGGAAAAAUUAUUAAACAUUGAUUUCACCACAUCUGCUGUGUUAAUUUGUGCAUUAUUUGUGUAGUGUUCGGUGAUAACUGAUUCAAAAAAUGAACACCAAUAUAUCUCCUCUGACAGGUAAAGCUGAAUAUGGCUGUUUAUUUAAAGAGUAUAUACAAAACAGCAUCACCUAGGAUCUAACACAAUAUAAAAAAACAUAAAGAACAAAUAUCUCCAAGUAAUCAUGUUUUUGUAAUGAUCUCUAUAUCUUUUUUAUGAAAAACAUCCAGACAGGACACUAAAGGCCAUUCAAUUAUUGCCCAAACAAUACGACACUUACUGUAAGCUUAUACAAGUGUGGUGUGAUACGUGGGUAAACCCACAAGACAAUAUGGUUUUACAUUGCAAGAUGUACAGAUGACCUAAAUAAACUGACCAACUGAUGGUGUGGAAAGCCUUA
Molecule: long non-coding RNA, 1678 nt
Organism: Pleuronectes platessa (European plaice)
Lineage: Eukaryota; Metazoa; Chordata; Actinopteri; Pleuronectiformes; Pleuronectidae
Exons: 2
Source: RefSeq, a predicted model, not a curated record